This 484-nucleotide ribosomal RNA is filed under the name uncultured bacterium. Its description in RNAcentral is "bacterial SSU rRNA". It matches the Rfam family "Bacterial small subunit ribosomal RNA", at positions 28 to 526 of the family's 1533-position model. The record is from RNAcentral.
GACGAACGCUGGCGGCGUGCUUAACACAUGCAAGUCGAGCGGUAAGGCCCUUUCGGGGGUACACGAGCGGCGAACGGGUGAGUAACACGUGGGUGACCUGCCUUCAGCUCUGGGAUAAGCCUGGGAAACUGGGUCUAAUACCGGAUAUUCACUGGUCCUCGCAUGGGGGUUGGUGGAAAGUUUUUUCGGCUGGAGAUGGGCCCGCGGCCUAUCAGCUUGUUGGUGGGGUGAUGGCCUACCAAGGCGACGACGGGUAGCCGGCCUGAGAGGGCGACCGGCCACACUGGGACUGAGAUACGGCCCAGACUCCUACGGGAGGCAGCAGUGGGGAAUAUUGCGCAAUGGGCGGAAGCCUGACGCAGCGACGCCGCGUGGGGGAUGACGGCCUUCGGGUUGUAAACCUCUUUCGACCGGGACGAAGCGCAAGUGACGGUACCGGUAGAAGAAGCACCGGCCAACUACGUGCCAGCCGCCGCGGUAAGAC